GCCACUUUGUGUUUGGGGGGGAUUUUAUCACCAACAUAUUCCCACAUGGCAAACACGCAUCUCGCUGCAGAAGAGUCAGAGGAGAUGUGAGCUCGUCCAGAUUUCUGAUUCAACACCAACUGGGACUGAAUUCCAUGAAGACGUGCAGAGGGCACGAGGGAGGACACGCGCUUCCACACAGAUCAUCACCUUCAUCCUCGUCAUCAUCAUCAUCUUCCUCACCCGGCGUCAUACAGGGGAAACUAGUUCCUCAUUUUUAAAAAGCUGUUUCUCCUCAGGUCCCGCGUGUCUACGGUGGUUUUAAUCCCGCAGCGGCUCUGGCCGGCUCCUCACUGGCCC
Long non-coding RNA from Perca fluviatilis (European perch), 339 nucleotides. RefSeq lists it as uncharacterized. Lineage: Eukaryota; Metazoa; Chordata; Actinopteri; Perciformes; Percidae. The transcript is spliced from 3 exons. The record is from RefSeq and is a predicted model, not a curated record.